UGUGAAACGACAGCCUGGUGUUUACACCCAUCACCCUUGACUGCCAUGAAGAUAAUAUUCUGCAAUUACUGUAUUGUGGUUUGUAAUGUUCUACAUAGCAAUUAGUGUACUCCAUGUUGCAUAAUGGUCUGCUUGUGCAAGAUGUCCCAUAACUAAGCUUGUUUGUCUACUAAGUCAAUCAUAAAUGUACAAACCAUGUUUAUUCUUUUCUAAAAUAUUUUAAACAGGAAGUAUUCUACUUACAGGAGUUGCACAGGAACUAGUAACACAGGAUGUCUUACAGAAGGCCCUGUAACACAGGAAGUCCUAGUGUAACACAAGAAAUAUUACAAGAGGCCCUGUUGUCUCACCUCCAAAAGAGGUCUGGUUGUUGGAAAUGUGAAAUGGGGUCUUUUCUGGGCAGUACCUGGUUGUAGAAUUCCUUCCCAAAGGAGGUGAAAGUAUCAGGGAUGCAGGUGGCGCUGUGGUCUAAACCACUGAGCCACUUGGGCUUGCUGAUCAGAAGGUUGGCGGUUUGAAUUCCCCACAACUGGGUGAGCUCAGGGUCCCAGCUCCUGCCAACCUAGCAGUUCGAAAGCACACCAGUGCAAGUAGAUAAGUACCGGUAUGUAUCGCUGCGGCAGGAAGGUAAACUGUGUUUCAUGCUGGCCACAUGACCCAGAAAGUUGUCUUGUUUGUGGACAAACGCCAGCUCUCUUGGCCUGAAAGCAAUAUGAGCGUUCCAUAGUCGCCUUUGACUGCACUUAACCUUUCAGGGGUCCUUUACCUUUACCUUUUCCCCUGGUUAUGGAAUUUCUUUCCCAAAGGAGGUGAAAGUAUCAGUGGGCAAUGAAAACAUUCUUAUUUCACAAGGCUUUUAGUGGUUUUUAAUACAGUGGUACCUCGGGUUAAGUGCUUAAUUCGUUCCGGAGGUCCAUUCUUAACCUGAAACUGUUCUUAACCUGAAGCACCACUUUAGCUAAUGGGGCCUCCUGCUGCUGCCACGCCGCCGGAGCACGAUUUCUGUUCUCAUCCUGAAGCAAAGUUCUUAACCUGAAGCACUAUUUCUGGGUUAGUGGAGUCUGUAACCUGAAGCAUAUGUAACCUGAAGUGUAUGUAACCCGAGGUACCAUUGUACAGUAUUCAAUUGAAGGUUUUAUUACUGUUGCUUUUGAGGCUUUUAUUGGUUACAUUGUGAUUUUUGCUAUUUUAUGUGAAUGGCUUUGUGGGUCCUUAUUACAGAUUAAAUAAUUUACAGUAUAAUCUUAUGCAUUUUUUUGUCAAAAGUACAUCUCACUAUGUUCAGUAGGGCUUCUGCUCAGGAAAGUGGGCACUGCAAACCCCAUCAUCUCUGACCAUUGGCCAUGCUGACUGAGACUAUUGGGAGUUCUAGUUCAAUAUCUGGAGGGACACAGGUCAGCCUCUCCCAGCUUAAUGCCCUCCAGAUGUUUUGGACUACAAUUCUCACAUCAUCUUUGACCAUUGGCCAUAGCUACCUAAAGGGAGUUACAACGUAAGAAUUGAUUGAAAUUUUCAUUCUUAAUCAUAAAACUUAGGGAAUAAGAAA
Molecule: long non-coding RNA, 1546 nt
Organism: Podarcis raffonei (Aeolian wall lizard)
Lineage: Eukaryota; Metazoa; Chordata; Lepidosauria; Squamata; Lacertidae
Exons: 2
Source: RefSeq, a predicted model, not a curated record